Molecule: ribosomal RNA, 2874 nt
Filed under: Parabacteroides distasonis
Lineage: Bacteria; Pseudomonadati; Bacteroidota; Bacteroidia; Bacteroidales; Tannerellaceae
Description: 23S ribosomal RNA
Rfam family: Bacterial large subunit ribosomal RNA
Source: RNAcentral
AGAAAGUAAGCAAGGGCAGACGGUGGAUGCCUUGGCUCUCGGAGGCGACGAAGGACGUGAUAAGCUGCGAAAAGCCCGGGGGAGGCGCAAAUAGCCCUUGAUCCCGGGAUAUCCGAAUGGGGCAACCCGGCAGGCUGAAGGCCUGUCAUCCCGUAAGGGAGGCGAACGUGGGGAACUGAAACAUCUAAGUACCCAUAGGAGGAGAAAAUAAACAAUGAUUCCGUAAGUAGUGGCGAGCGAACACGGAAGAGCCCAAACCCAUGUCGUCUAGGCGACACGGGGGUUGUAGGACCACGACGUGGCAAGAUAGAGUCAAGUGGAACGCCUUGGAAAAGGCGGUCAUAGAGGGUGAAAACCCCGUACACGACUGACGAUUGAAGCCUAGUGGCAUCCUGAGUAGCGCGGGGCACGAGAAAUCUUGCGUGAAACAGCGGGGCCCAUCCCGUAAGGCUAAAUACUCCCGAGAGACCGAUAGCGAACCAGUACCGUGAGGGAAAGGUGAAAAGAACCCCGAGCAGGGGAGUGAAAUAGACCCUGAACCCGUCUGCCUACAAGCGGUCGGAGCAUAGCAAUAUGUGACGGCGUGCCUUUUGCAUAAUGAACCUACGAGUUACCUUCCCCGGCAAGGUUAAGUACCUAAGGUACGGAGCCGAAGCGAAAGCGAGUCUGAAGAGGGCGGCCAGUCGGGGGGGUAGACGCGAAACCGAGUGAUCUACCCUUGGCCAGGUUGAAGGUUGGGUAACACCAACUGGAGGACCGGAUGGGUAAGCGUUGAAAAGCUUUCCAAUGAGCUGAGGGUAGGGGUGAAAGGCUAAUCAAACUCGGAGAUAGCUCGUACUCCCCGAAAUGCAUUUAGGUGCAGCCUCUUUAUAGUAUAUCGUGAGGUAGAGCGACUGAUUGGAUGCGAGGGCUUCACCGCCUAUCAAGUCCAGAUAAACUCCGAAUGCGCGAUAUAUAUUUAAAGGGAGUGAGGGCGCGGGUGCUAAGGUCCGUGUCCGAGAGGAGAAGAAUCCAGACCACCGGCUAAGGCCCCCAAAUGAUCGUUGAGUUGAACUAACGAGGUCGGAUCGCAGAGACAGCUAGGAUGUUGGCUUGGAAGCAGCCAUUCAUUUAAAGAGUGCGUAACAGCUCACUAGUCGAGCGAUCUGGCGUGGAUAAUAAUCGGGCAUAAACGAUCUGCCGAAGCCGUGGAUGUCGUAAGACAUGGUAGGGGAGCAUUCCAUGCGGCGUCGAAGAUGAGGGAUGACCCUUGUUGGAGCGCAUGGAAAAGCAAAUGUAGGUAUGAGUAACGAUAAGGGGGGCGAGAAACCCCCCCGCCGAAAGACCAAGGUUUCCUGAUCAACGCUAAUCGGAUCAGGGUGAGUCGGGACCUAAGGCCAAGCCGAACGGCGACGCCGAUGGAAGAAUGGGUUAAUAUUCCCAUACUGCCUCAUGGAGUGACGUGGAGACGGAGAAGUGACAGUCCUGCCGGCUGACGGAAUAGCCGGUUGAAGGGUGUAGAUAUUGAUUCCCGUAGGCAAAUCCGCGGGGAGAGUCGAACCUGACAGUAUACCGAGUACUUGUACGAGGUAAUAUGGACGUAACCAUGCUCCCAAGAAAAUCCGCUAAACUUAUCCAUGCGGCACCCGUACCGUAAACGGACACACGUGGUCGGGUUGAGAAUACUGAGGCGCUCGAGUGACUCACGGUUAAGGAACUAGGCAAAUUGACCCUGUAACUUCGGGAUAAAGGGUCCUCGUCGUAAGGCGAGGCGCAGAGAAUAGGUCCAGGCAACUGUUUAACAAAAACACAUGGCUGUGCUAAAUGGAAACAUGACGUAUACAGCCUGACACCUGCCCGGUGCUGGAAGGUUAAGAGGAGAUGUCAUCGCAAGAGAAGCGUUGAAUUGAAGCCCCAGUAAACGGCGGCCGUAACUAUAACGGUCCUAAGGUAGCGAAAUUCCUUGUCGGGUAAGUUCCGACCUGCACGAAUGGUGUAAUGAUCUGGACACUGUCUCAACCGUGAGCUCGGUGAAAUUGUAGUAUCGGUGAAGAUGCCGAUUACCCGCGAUGGGACGAAAAGACCCCGUGAACCUUUACUAUAGCUUUACAUUGAAUUUGGGCAGACGAUGUGUAGGAUAGGCCGGAGGCUUUGAAGGGGGUACGCCAGUAUCCUUGGAGCCGCCGUUGAAAUACGGCCCUUCGGUUGUUUGAGUUCUAACUCCCGGAUGGGAGGACACUGUAUGGUGGGUAGUUUGACUGGGGUGGUCGCCUCCAAAAGCGUAACGGAGGCUUCUAAAGGUGCCCUCAGACCGAUUGGUAACCGGUCGCAGAGUGUAAUGGCAUAAGGGCGCUUGACUGGGAGAGAUACAACUCGAUCAGGUAGGAAACUAGAGCAUAGUGAUCCGGUGGUUCCGCAUGGAAGGGCCAUCGCUCAAAGGAUAAAAGGUACUCCGGGGAUAACAGGCUGAUCAUUCCCAAGAGCUCAUAUCGACGGAAUGGUUUGGCACCUCGAUGUCGGCUCGUCACAUCCUGGGGCUGGAGAAGGUCCCAAGGGUUGGGCUGUUCGCCCAUUAAAGUGGCACGCGAGCUGGGUUCAGAACGUCGUGAGACAGUUCGGUCUCUAUCUAUCGUGGGCGCAGGAGAUUUGAGGGGCUCUGACACUAGUACGAGAGGACCGUGUUGGACGUACCACUGGUUUACCGGUUGUCCCGCCAGGGGCACCGCCGGGUAUCUAAGUACGGAUCGGAUAAGUGCUGAAAGCAUCUAAGUACGAAGCCGGCCUCAAGAUUAGAUCUCCCUCAAGGGUGGUUAUAGACGAUGACCUUGAUAGGCCACAGGUGUAAGGGCGGCGACGUCCGAGCCGAGUGGUACUAAUAGCCCGGGACUUUCCUCA